UGUUGGUUGGCUGCUGUGGGUGGAUUAAAUGGGAGGAUUCUGAAAUAAAUCAUACUUGUUUCUUUCAAUAAAUGCAGGUUGCAAAUGAAAGAAGAUGAGGGAUAAAUGCCAAGGUUUACCUUAAAGCUUCUGGCAGUGAAUCAAUGUUCUUUCUUACUCUUAGAUCUUUGGGUAUUAUCUACACUGGAAUGGGUGGAACAAAUUUGUGUUGCUGCCUUUGUAAUUGCAGGUGAAUAAUGGAGGAAUGUAGAUGAAUGAAAGCCAAAUCUCACCUUGGAGUUUCUGGCAGCAACUAGACUAAUUACUUCCCUUGGUUUGCUGGUGAAUAAGGGAGUGUUUUGGCUGAAGUUGUAGGCUAGGAAGGCAAAGGGGCGAUGGAGUGCACUUGAGUGUGUUAAGGAG
RNAcentral lists this long non-coding RNA (402 nucleotides) under Salvia miltiorrhiza (redroot sage). RNAcentral describes it as "long non-coding RNA (SMIL_LNC006657)". Lineage: Eukaryota; Viridiplantae; Streptophyta; Magnoliopsida; Lamiales; Lamiaceae. The record is from RNAcentral.